Molecule: ribosomal RNA, 524 nt
Filed under: uncultured bacterium
Lineage: Bacteria
Description: bacterial SSU rRNA
Rfam family: Bacterial small subunit ribosomal RNA
Source: RNAcentral
AAUAGAUACCCAGGUAGUCCACGCCGUAAACGAUGUCGACUUGGAGGUUGUUCCCUUGAGGAGUGGCUUCCGGAGCUAACGCGUUAAGUCGACCGCCUGGGGAGUACGGCCGCAAGGUUAAAACUCAAAUGAAUUGACGGGGGCCCGCACAAGCGGUGGAGCAUGUGGUUUAAUUCGAUGCAACGCGAAGAACCUUACCUGGUCUUGACAUCCACAGAAUUCUGCAGAGAUGCGGAAGUGCCUUCGGGUACUGUGAGACAGGUGCUGCAUGGCUGUCGUCAGCUCGUGUUGUGAAAUGUUGGGUUAAGUCCCGCAACGAGCGCAACCCUUAUCCUUUGUUGCCAGCGGCUAGGCCGGGAACUCAAAGGAGACUGCCAGUGAUAAACUGGAGGAAGGUGGGGAUGACGUCAAGUCAUCAUGGCCCUUACGACCAGGGCUACACACGUGCUACAAUGGCAUAUACAAAGAGAAGCGACCUCGCGAGAGCAAGCGGACCUCAUAAAGUAUGUCGUAGUCCGGAUCGG